CCUACGGGUGGCAGCAGUGAGGAAUGUUGGUCAAUGGGCGCGAGCCUGAACCAGCCAAGUCGCGUGAGGGAAGACGGCCCUACGGGUUGUAAACCUCUUUUGCCGGGGAGCAACGGGCGCCACGUGUGUCGCCACUGCGAGUACCUGGAGAAAAAGCAUCGGCUAACUCCGUGCCAGCAGCCGCGGUAAUACGGAGGUUGCGAGCGUUAUCCGGAUUUAUUGGGUUUAAAGGGUGCGUAGGCGGAGCGUUAAGUCAGUGGUCAAAUUGAGGGGCUCAACCCCUUCCCGCCAUUGAAACUGGCGCUCUUGAGUGGAAGAGAAGUAUGCGGAAUGCGUGGGGUAGCGGUGAAAUGCAUAGAUAUCACGCAGAACCCCGAUUGCGAAGGCAGCAUGCCGGCAUCCUACUGACGCUGAAGCACGAAAGCGUGGGGAUCAAACAGGAUUAGAUACCCUUGUAGUC
Molecule: ribosomal RNA, 460 nt
Filed under: uncultured bacterium
Lineage: Bacteria
Description: partial 16S ribosomal RNA
Rfam family: Bacterial small subunit ribosomal RNA
Source: RNAcentral